RNAcentral lists this ribosomal RNA (574 nucleotides) under uncultured bacterium. Its description in RNAcentral is "bacterial SSU rRNA". It matches the Rfam family "Bacterial small subunit ribosomal RNA", at positions 338 to 873 of the family's 1533-position model. The record is from RNAcentral.
CCUACGGGAGGCAGCAGUGGGGAAUCUUGCGCAAUGGGCGAAAGCCUGACGCAGCCAUGCCGCGUGAAUGAUGAAGGUCUUAGGAUUGUAAAAUUCUUUCACCGAGGACGAUAAUGACGGUACUCGGAGAAGAAGCCCCGGCUAACUUCGUGCCAGCAGCCGCGGUAAUACGAAGGGGGCUAGCGUUGCUCGGAAUUACUGGGCGUAAAGGGAGCGUAGGCGGAUAGUUUAGUCAGAGGUGAAAGCCCAGGGCUCAACCUUGGAAUUGCCUUUGAUACUGGCUAUCUUGAGUACGGAAGAGGUAUGUGGAACUCCGAGUGUAGAGGUGAAAUUCGUAGAUAUUCGGAAGAACACCAGUGGCGAAGGCGACAUACUGGUCCGUUACUGACGCUGAGGCUCGAAAGCGUGGGGAGCAAACAGGAUUAGAUACCCUGGUAGUCCACGCUGUAAACGAUGAGUGCUAGUUGUCGGCAUGCAUGCNUGUCGGUGACGCAGCUAACGACAUUAAGACACUCCGCCGUCGGGGAGGUACGGUCGCGAAGAAGUUAAAACGUUAAAAGGUAAAGUUAGACGG